CUCGCAGGCGGUCGCAUACGGCGGUGGUGAAAGCUCCCGGCUCAACUGGGAGAGGCCCGCCGCAACGGUGUGACUCGAGGGUGGUAGAGGCAGAUGGAAUUCCUGGUGUAGCGGUGAAAUGCGUAGAGAUCAGGAGGAACACCCGUGGCGAAGGCGGUCUGCUGGGCCACACCUGACGCUGAGGAGCGAAAGCUAGGGGAGCGAACGGGAUUAGAUACCCCGGUAGUCCUAGCCGUAAACGAUGGAUACUAGGUGUCAGCGGUAUCGACCCCGCUGGUGCCGGAGCUAACGCGUGAAGUAUCCCGCCUGGGGAGUACGGCCGCAAGGUUGAG
RNAcentral lists this ribosomal RNA (332 nucleotides) under uncultured bacterium. RNAcentral's name for it is "bacterial SSU rRNA". It matches the Rfam family "Bacterial small subunit ribosomal RNA", at positions 568 to 898 of the family's 1533-position model. The record is from RNAcentral.